RNAcentral lists this ribosomal RNA (253 nucleotides) under uncultured bacterium. Its description in RNAcentral is "partial 16S ribosomal RNA". It matches the Rfam family "Bacterial small subunit ribosomal RNA", at positions 524 to 776 of the family's 1533-position model. The record is from RNAcentral.
UACGAAGGGUGCAAGCGUUACUCGGAAUUACUGGGCGUAAAGCGUGCGUAGGCGGUUUGUUAAGUCCGCUGUGAAAGCCCUGGGCUCAACCUGGGAAUUGCAGUGGAUACUGGCAAGCUAGAGUGCGGUAGAGGAUGGUGGAAUUCCCGGUGUAGCGGUGAAAUGCGCAGAUAUCAGGAGGAACACCGGUGGCGAAGGCGGGUCUCUGGGCUGACACUGACGCUCAUGCACGAAAGCGUGGGGAGCAAACAGG